ACUGAAUGAUGAUGGCCCACUAACUGAGCAGUCAGUAGUUGGGCCUUUCUUGCAUAUGAUGCAGUUAAUUGAUUCAAGAUGGGACUGAUGGCAAG
Molecule: small nucleolar RNA, 95 nt
Organism: Ursus americanus (American black bear)
Lineage: Eukaryota; Metazoa; Chordata; Mammalia; Carnivora; Ursidae
Gene: SNORD21
Rfam family: Small nucleolar RNA SNORD21
About the family: U21 is a member of the C/D class of snoRNA which contain the C (UGAUGA) and D (CUGA) box motifs. U21 is encoded within an intron of the gene for ribosomal protein L5 in mammals, but within introns of the ADP ribosylation factor gene in Drosophila. U21 snoRNA has a 13 nt region of complementarity with an invariant region of eukaryotic 28S ribosomal RNA.
Source: Ensembl